UUUCCAUCCCCACCGACUCUCAUAUCUUUCCUAUUCAGUUCUUCAAUUCUUUGAUUUUGCGUCAUAAAUCGAACCCAUAGGGCUUCUGGAUUUUAUUGGGUCACCAUCACCCAUCCGCCCUCGAUGUCACAUGUUCCUUCCCCUCUGUCGAGUUCGUGCCAUCUGAGUCGUCGUCAGUGGCUGCUGCUUUUAUCCCUAAUUUUGGAAAUUGAAAUUAAAUAUUCAAGAUGCGUCGUACUCCAACAGGAAAGGUCCGUCUAAUUCAACUCAAAUUUGUCACUCGAUAUUCCUUCAGUCCUCUAUAUGUAAAUCAGGAUUCGUAUUUUCAUAUUUCGCUGCUAUAGCUUGCAUCUUCUUUACUGAUUCCGAUUGUCAUCUCCACCAUUGCUCCUACGCCUUUGUUCAUCCAAAAAAACACAACAACGAUUAUCUGGUGUACAUCAUAAGAGGUUUGGGUUUAUUGCUAGCCUUUGUUCUUUUUUUUGUUCGUUUCCAAGUUUUUGGUUCUUCGUUUUGUUGUCUCUCCGUUAAAUUGAACAUGAUUUUUGGACGUUUCUCUUCAAUCGAUGGAAACCCGGUCGCAUGCCACACACCUUCUCGCCACUUUGUUAACGAUCAUCGCCUCUUACAAGCAUGCCUCCAGUUCAGAUUGUAAAUCAUGUAUGUCUAUCUCUACUUUCUUUCUUCGAUUCAUAUUUUAGUUGCUUGAUUUUAAAUCGUCUUUAUUGUAAGCUGAAAUGAGUUUGAAUUGGUAGGAUUAUUAUUAUAAAAUUUUGAAGAAAGUGAAGAUGCAUACCACAUGUUUGAUAAAAUGUCUAUUUGAAAUCUGGGAACAGAUUUAUUUAGAUACAAAACCAGUUUUACAUAAUAACUAGACCAACAAUAAUUGUAUAUUCUUUUGGAAAUUUGGUAUGAUUCAUUCAUUUAAUGCUUUAAUGCUUUGCUAAACUUAAUAAGAUGUUAGUUGCUGCCAUAUUUUACGAUGGCAAAAGUCCAUUGUGUCUUAUCUUUUGAUGGUCAUUAGAGGAAAUUUCUUAAACUUGAGUUGAUUUUUAAAAUUUUAAGAAAAUAUAUUAUAUUUGAUUUUCUCUAUUCUUUUAUGAUAUUAAAAGUUACUUGUAAGUUUGUAACAGAUGUUUGCUAUUAUUAAUAUUCAUGUUAUCAUCCUGGAUGACUCAAUUGGAAUGCAUUUCAUUAUCCAAUUGUGUCAUUUUGCAUCGAUCCGCAUGACGUAAAAUUCAAACAAGAGUAUUUUCAAAUUUAUUUGUUAAAUAAUAUCUCGAUUAUAACACUCUAAAAAAUAGUUCACAAUUAAUUAUAUUUUAUAAAACUGAUUCACAAUGAUCGGAAAAAACUUUUGAAAUCAACUUAAGGAAAAAAAUAAUAUUUUUAGAUUAUUGAGAUCAUAUAUUACUAGAUUUCUUUACCUGAUGUUACAUUCCGCACUUACUAUUUUUAUGGUUAAAAGUAUUAUGAUUGAAUCUUGAGUUGUAACACUUUUAUUCAGUAAUUAGUCGAGGAUUUCGUAGUGAGUUUUCUUUGUAAGUACAUGGUUGAGGAUAAUUAUUAAUUGAUCAAAAUAAGAAAGCAUUACGAUAGCUAAAUUUGAUCUAAUACUGAUUAGUUAUAUAAACGUACAAUUUAUCAUUAGGGACACUUCAUAGUUAUAACAAAUCAAACUAAAGUAAAAGAAAAAAUGUAAGGGAAAAUGGAUGUUAUUGUUAUUGUUGUUUAAAGAAAACAAAUCCAACUUUGUGAUAAGACAUUGUCAUUGUAUUCAUCUGUGAUGUGCUUCUAUUAAGCAUUAAGCACGUACUAAGCAUAAUUGAUACAUUGAACUUAGCUUUUACAACAUCAUCAUUGUUUGAAAAAGAUCUCUCAUUUACCUAUGUAAAAUAGCAUAAUUGUGGAAUUUGCAACACUUAUACGAGAUUGAGCAUACAAUUUUAACCUUAAUUUUUUUAUCAUUCAUAUUUUUACUUAAAUUUAUUAACUCAAAUAGGUUACUUUUAUUGAGCUGCUCCUAAGCAUACAACUUGAGUUUGGUUUCUUCAGAGAUGCAAAAAAAAAAAUGUAUGAUUGGUCACGACUUAUGUCUCUUGAAUUGAUUUCAAUCCCCUUUGUAUGUUUUUUAUGUGUCUCCCAUUAAAUGAUAUAAUGUAUAAUUCGUUGUAUGUUGUAGGAAUGAUAUGUUAGAAUUACUAUUGAGUACAAGAGCUACUCGAGUAGAGAUUAAUCUGUCCACUACUGUAAUAAAGAUAACCAACAAGAUAACACUAUAAAGGAGGAAUAUAAAGCGAUUGAAGGUGCUAGAAAAAGCAUGCAGCUGGGUAAAAUGUUUACAUUUAGUUAAUUUGUUUGUGUCAGAUUGUAUCUUACUUAAUUAUCAAUCUAAUUUCUCUAAAUACUUUUCCUUUUGAAUUGUCAUAAUUAUCAAAUCUAAGAGGAAUGGGUGAGGAUUCCAAAAGCUACCACAUAUCUGUAUAUUGUAUACAUAAUAUACGCAGAUUACCAUGUGGCAUGCAAACAAAACAAAAAACCUACUUUUUUAGUCACAAUAAAACACAUGGACUUAUAAACUAUUACAAAUAAAUUUGAAUUUAUUAUAAAAGGUUGCUCCAAACCUGGAGCCAAAACAGUGCACAGGACUGCAACCGUUUCAGUUAAAAAGCGUGGUCAUAUAUGAAAAGGAAAUACAAAGGGAGGUGGAAGAAAGAAAGAGGUUGAAAGAGGAAGCGGUUAACAUGAUAUUGUCUAAGGCUCAUCCAAUAUUAAAAAAGCAAGAAAAAACACUUUUCGUCACUUUCCAAAUGAAAUACAUGUAUUACUUUUUUUUU
RNAcentral lists this long non-coding RNA (2837 nucleotides) under Lactuca sativa (garden lettuce). Its description in RNAcentral is "long non-coding RNA (LSAT_LNC007765)". The record is from RNAcentral. Lineage: Eukaryota; Viridiplantae; Streptophyta; Magnoliopsida; Asterales; Asteraceae.